AGCCCCGUCGUCUAGUGGUCAAGGAUAGGAGGCUCUGGACCUCUUGACAGCGGUUCGAAUCCGCUCGGGUCUA
Molecule: transfer RNA, 73 nt
Filed under: Candidatus Bilamarchaeum dharawalense
Lineage: Archaea; Nanobdellati; Microcaldota; Candidatus Micrarchaeia; Candidatus Anstonellales; Candidatus Bilamarchaeaceae
Description: tRNA-Gln(ctg)
Rfam family: tRNA
About the family: Transfer RNA (tRNA) molecules are approximately 80 nucleotides in length.
Source: RNAcentral